RNAcentral lists this unclassified non-coding RNA (253 nucleotides) under uncultured Flavobacteriaceae bacterium. Its description in RNAcentral is "contains 16S-23S intergenic spacer region". It matches the Rfam family "Bacterial small subunit ribosomal RNA", at positions 524 to 776 of the family's 1533-position model. The record is from RNAcentral. Lineage: Bacteria; Pseudomonadati; Bacteroidota; Flavobacteriia; Flavobacteriales; Flavobacteriaceae.
UACGGAGGAUCCAAGCGUUAUCCGGAAUCAUUGGGUUUAAAGGGUGCGUAGGCGGGUUUAUAAGUCAGCGGUGAAUGUCUGCAGCUUAACUGGAGAACUGCCAUUGAUACUGGAGACCUUGAAUUAUUAUGAAGUGGUUAGAAUAUGUAGUGUAGCGGUGAAAUGCAUAGAUAUUACAUAGAAUACCGAUUGCGAAGGCAGAUCACUAAUAAUGUACUGACGCUGAUGGACGAAAGCGUAGGUAGCGAACAGG